UAGGGAAUAUUGCACAAUGGAGGAAACUCUGAUGCAGCGACGCCGCGUGAGUGAUGAAGGCCUUCGGGUCGUAAAGCUCUGUCGCAGGGGAAUAACACAAUGAAUGUACCCUGUAAGAAAGGAUCGGCUAACUUCGUGCCAGCAGCCGCGGUAAGACGAGGGAUCCUAGCGUUGUUCGGAAUCAUUGGGCGUAAAGCGGGUGCAGGUGGCUAUGUAAGUCAGGUGUGAAAGCCUGGGGCUCAACCCCAGAAGUGCAUUUGAUACUGCGUAGCUUGAGUGCUAGAGAGGAUAGUAGAAUUCUUGGUGUAGUGGUGAAAUACGUAGAUAUCAAGAGGAAUACCGGUGGCGAAGGCGGCUAUCUGGCUAGACACUGACACUCAGACCCGAAAGUGCGGGGAUC
This 400-nucleotide ribosomal RNA is filed under the name uncultured bacterium. Its description in RNAcentral is "bacterial SSU rRNA". It matches the Rfam family "Bacterial small subunit ribosomal RNA", at positions 355 to 769 of the family's 1533-position model. The record is from RNAcentral.